UACAGAGGGUGCGAGCGUUAAUCGGAAUUACUGGGCGUAAAGCGUGCGUAGACGGUUAUUUAAGUCGGAUGUGAAAUCCCCGGGCUUAACCUGGGAACUGCAUUCGGGACUGCAUUGCUCGAGUAUGGGAGAGGGAAGUGGAAUUUCAGGUGUAGCGGUGAAAUGCGUAGAUAUCUGAAGGAACAUCAGUGGCGAAAGCGACUUCCUGGACCAAUACUGACGCUCAUGUGCGAAAGCGUGGGGAGCAAACAGG
This 253-nucleotide ribosomal RNA is filed under the name uncultured bacterium. Its description in RNAcentral is "partial 16S ribosomal RNA". It matches the Rfam family "Bacterial small subunit ribosomal RNA", at positions 524 to 776 of the family's 1533-position model. The record is from RNAcentral.